GAUGAACGCUGGCGGCGUGCCUAAUACAUGCAAGUCGAGCGAAUGGAUUAAGAGCUUGCUCUUAUGAAGUUAGCGGCGGACGGGUGAGUAACACGUGGGUAACCUGCCCAUAAGACUGGGAUAACUCCGGGAAACCGGGGCUAAUACCGGAUAACAUUUUGAACCGCAUGGUUCGAAAUUGAAAGGCGGCUUCGGCUGUCACUUAUGGAUGGACCCGCGUCGCAUUAGCUAGUUGGUGAGGUAACGGCUCACCAUGGCAACGAUGCGUAGCCGACCGGAGAGGGUGAUCGGCCACACUGGGACUGAGACACGGCCCAGACUCCUACGGGAGGCAGCAGUAGGGAAUCUUCCGCAAUGGACGAAAGUCUGACGGAGCAACGCCGCGUGAGUGAUGAAGGCUUUCGGGUCGUAAAACUCUGUUGUUAGGGAAGAACAAGUGCUAGUUGAAUGGGCUGGCACCUUGACGGUACCUAACCAGAAAGCCAUGGCUAACUACGUGCCAGCAGCCGCAGUAA
This 515-nucleotide ribosomal RNA is filed under the name uncultured bacterium. RNAcentral's name for it is "partial 16S ribosomal RNA". It matches the Rfam family "Bacterial small subunit ribosomal RNA", at positions 28 to 523 of the family's 1533-position model. The record is from RNAcentral.